GUGCUCGCUCCAUCAGCACAUACACUAAAAUUGGAAUGAUACAGAGAAGAUUAGCAUGGUCCCUGUGUGAAGAUGACAUGCAAAUUCCUGAAGCGUUCCAUAUUUUU
Small nuclear RNA from Prolemur simus (greater bamboo lemur), 107 nucleotides. The record is from Ensembl. NCBI's taxonomy places the organism in Eukaryota, Metazoa, Chordata, Mammalia, Primates, Lemuridae.